AAAUUGAAGAGUUUGAUCAUGGCUCAGAUUGAACGCUGGCGGCAGGCCUAACACAUGCAAGUCGAACGGUAACAGGAAGCAGCUUGCUGCUUUGCUGACGAGUGGCGGACGGGUGAGUAAUGUCUGGGAAACUGCCUGAUGGAGGGGGAUAACUACUGGAAACGGUAGCUAAUACCGCAUAACGUCGCAAGACCAAAGAGGGGGACCUUCGGGCCUCUUGCCAUCGGAUGUGCCCAGAUGGGAUUAGCUAGUAGGUGGGGUAACGGCUCACCUAGGCGACGAUCCCUAGCUGGUCUGAGAGGAUGACCAGCCACACUGGAACUGAGACACGGUCCAGACUCCUACGGGAGGCAGCAGUGGGGAAUAUUGCACAAUGGGCGCAAGCCUGAUGCAGCCAUG
This 399-nucleotide ribosomal RNA is filed under the name Escherichia coli. RNAcentral describes it as "bacterial SSU rRNA". It matches the Rfam family "Bacterial small subunit ribosomal RNA", at positions 1 to 396 of the family's 1533-position model. The record is from RNAcentral. Lineage: Bacteria; Pseudomonadati; Pseudomonadota; Gammaproteobacteria; Enterobacterales; Enterobacteriaceae.